GAAAUGCGAUAAGUAGUGUGAAUUGCAGAAUUCAGUGAAUCAUCGAAUCUUUGAACGCACAUUGCGCCCUUUGGUAUUCCUUAGGGCAUGCCUGUUCGAGCGUCAUCUAAACCUUCAAACCCUGCUUGGUGUUGGGUGCCUGUCCCGCCUCCGCGCGCGGACUCACCUCAAAUCCAUUGGCGGCCCCCGCGUCGGCCACGAGCGCAGCAGAAACGCGAACUCGUGAGCCCGUCCGGGCGGCUCCCAGAAGCUACACCCACCCAGUUUGACCUCGGAUCAGGUAGGGAUACCCGCUGAACUUAAGC
This 305-nucleotide unclassified non-coding RNA is filed under the name plant metagenome. RNAcentral describes it as "partial contains 5.8S ribosomal RNA, internal transcribed spacer 2, and large subunit ribosomal RNA". The stretch from base 1 to 105 matches the Rfam family "5.8S ribosomal RNA", at positions 50 to 154 of the family's 154-position model. The record is from RNAcentral.